AUUGAACGCUGGCGGCAUGCUUUACACAUGCAAGUCGAACGGCAGCGCGGGCUUCGGCCUGGCGGCGAGUGGCGAACGGGUGAGUAAUGCAUCGGAACGUGCCCAGUAGUGGGGGAUAGCCCGGCGAAAGCCGGAUUAAUACCGCAUACGACCUGAGGGUGAAAGCGGGGGACCGAAAGGCCUCGCGCUAUUGGAGCGGCCGAUGACGGAUUAGCUAGUUGGUGGGGUAAAGGCUUACCAAGGCGACGAUCCGUAGCUGGUCUGAGAGGACGACCAGCCACACUGGGACUGAGACACGGCCCAGACUCCUACGGGAGGCAGCAGUGGGGAAUUUUGGACAAUGGGGGCAACCCUGAUCCAGCCAUGCCGCGUGCGGGAAGAAGGCCUUCGGGUUGUAAACCGCUUUUGUUCGGGAAGAAAUCCUCUGGGCUAAUACCCCGGGGGGAUGACGGUACCGGAAGAAUAAGCACCGGCUAACUACGU
Molecule: ribosomal RNA, 483 nt
Filed under: uncultured bacterium
Lineage: Bacteria
Description: partial 16S ribosomal RNA
Rfam family: Bacterial small subunit ribosomal RNA
Source: RNAcentral